This 443-nucleotide ribosomal RNA is filed under the name uncultured Rhodoplanes sp. Its description in RNAcentral is "bacterial SSU rRNA". It matches the Rfam family "Bacterial small subunit ribosomal RNA", at positions 336 to 795 of the family's 1533-position model. Lineage: Bacteria; Pseudomonadati; Pseudomonadota; Alphaproteobacteria; Hyphomicrobiales; Nitrobacteraceae. The record is from RNAcentral.
UUCCUACGGGGGGCUGCAGUGGGGAAUAUUGGACAAUGGGCGCAAGCCUGAUCCAGCCAUGCCGCGUGGGUGAUGAAGGCCCUAGGGUUGUAAAGCCCUUUCGGCGGGGAAGAUAAUGACGGUACCCGCAGAAGAAGCCCCGGCUAACUUCGUGCCAGCAGCCGCGGUAAUACGAAGGGGGCUAGCGUUGCUCGGAAUCACUGGGCGUAAAGCGCACGUAGGCGGACUCUUAAGUCGGGGGUGAAAUCCUGGAGCUCAACUCCAGAACUGCCUUCGAUACUGAGAGUCUUCGAGUUCGGGAGAGGUGAGUGGAACUGCGAGUGUAGAGGUGAAAUUCGUAGAUAUUCGCAAGAACACCAGUGGCGAAGGCGGCUCACUGGCCCGAUACUGACGCUGAGGUGCGAAAGCGUGGGGAGCAAACAGGAUUAGAUACCCCAGUAGUC